UUGGACCUGAUAUCAGGCAAGAUUACCCGCUGAACUUAAGCAUAUCAAA
Molecule: ribosomal RNA, 49 nt
Filed under: Phytophthora capsici
Lineage: Eukaryota; Oomycota; Peronosporomycetes; Peronosporales; Peronosporaceae
Description: partial 28S ribosomal RNA
Source: RNAcentral